Molecule: ribosomal RNA, 406 nt
Filed under: uncultured bacterium
Lineage: Bacteria
Description: partial 16S ribosomal RNA
Rfam family: Bacterial small subunit ribosomal RNA
Source: RNAcentral
AUUGAACGCUGGCGGCAGGCCUAACACAUGCAAGUCGAGCGAGCGGCGGACGGGUGAGUAAUGUCUGGGAAACUGCCUGCUGGAGGGGGAUAACUACUGGCAACGGUAGCUAAUACCGCAUACCAUCAGAUGUGCCCCGAUGGGAUUAGCUAGUGGGUGGGGUAACGGCUCACCUCGGAGACGAUCCCUAGCUGGUCUGAGAGGAUGACCAGCCACACUGUGACUGAGACACGGCCCAGACUCCUACGGGAGGCAGCAGUGGGGAAUAUGGGACAAUGGGCGCAAGCCUGAUGCAGCCAUCCCGCGUGUGUGAUGAAGGCCUUCGGGUUGUAAAGCACUUUCAGCGGGGAGGCGUUACCCGCAGAAGAAGCACCGGCUAACUCCGUGCCAGCAGCCGCGGUAAUUC